GAUUCCUGCCUACCUGAAGUGAAGCUUUCCAUGGGUAACUAAUUCUAAUGACCUGGUAUGCUGCAACAAAGCCUAAGCCACGUCUUCAUUGGCAGCUGAAGCCAGUACUGUUACCCCAACAGGAUUACUGAUCAUCUUUGGAAUUCUAUUGGAGAGUAGAGGCCUGCCAUCUUAGUGGCAUGCAGUUAAUGACUCGUAUGGGAAGGUUACUACAAUAUCCAGUUUUGAUCUUCAGCUACCAGGUAAAACAAGAUCCCAAGAACUUGGCCAACUGAUGUCUGAAGAGGACUUAAAUGCCAGAUUCCUAGAGACAUAAGAUCAGCUUCAAAUGAAGUCUUCAAGCUGUAUCAAGGACAGAAUAGCAUGUUUUCCCUGAUGAUGGGAGACUGACUUCAUGCCUAUUCCAGCCCUCAGGGUUAUACUGACAGAUAAAGUCUGCUGAGAAGCAACCCAUGUGUCGACAAUUAACGUUUCUCAAUUCUGUCAGUCCCAUUCCUUUCCUUGGUGUUGCACAUGAUAGCCAUUAUAUAGGCAGUUGUCUUAGAACAGUCUUCAGUGAAUUCCCCGGCAAAUGUGAAGUAGCAUUUGCAAUGCAAAUCUUCAACUGUCCCAGUCAUGUAAUAUUUCUAAUGCACUUUUCCCAUCCCCAUUAUUUUUCCACUCUGUCUCAAAGAAAAGGUGACAAAGAGGUACUGUCUAACUAUUUCAACUUCUUUACAAUUAAAUUAGAACAUUUUCUUUGUUUAAGAUCCAGAAAAUGGCAAAAAAAAAAAAAAAGAAAAACCUUAGAAAUACACUUAGAAAGUAAAUUAAGCUAUUGAGCACCUAACAGCAACACUGUACAUA
This 846-nucleotide long non-coding RNA is filed under the name Gallus gallus (chicken). The record is from RNAcentral. Lineage: Eukaryota; Metazoa; Chordata; Aves; Galliformes; Phasianidae.